UACAGAGGGUGCAAGCGUUAAUCGGAAUUACUGGGCGUAAAGCGUGCGUAGACGGGAGCGUAAGUCGGGUGUGAAAGCCCCGGGCUUAACCUGGGAAUGGCGGUUGAAACUAGUCGACUAGAAUCUGGCAGAGGGGGGUGGAAUUCCACGUGUAGCAGUGAAAUGCGUAGAGAUGUGGAGGAACACCGAUGGCGAAGGCAGCCCCCUGGGCUGAGAUUGACGCUCAGGCACGAAAGCGUGGGGAGCAAACAGG
RNAcentral lists this ribosomal RNA (253 nucleotides) under uncultured bacterium. Its description in RNAcentral is "partial 16S ribosomal RNA". It matches the Rfam family "Bacterial small subunit ribosomal RNA", at positions 524 to 776 of the family's 1533-position model. The record is from RNAcentral.